UAACCCCUACGGGGGGCAGCAGUAGGGAAUCUUCCACAAUGGACGAAAGUCUGAUGGAGCAACGCCGCGUGAGUGAAGAAGGGUUUCGGCUCGUUAAGCUCUGUUGGUAGUGAAGAAAGAUAGAGGUAGUAACUGGCCUUUAUUUGACGGUAAUUACUUAGAAAGUCACGGCUAACUACGUGCCAGCAGCCGCGGUAAUACGUAGGUGGCAAGCGUUAUCCGGAUUUACUGGGUGUAAAGGGAGCGGAGACGGUGCAG
RNAcentral lists this ribosomal RNA (258 nucleotides) under uncultured bacterium. Its description in RNAcentral is "partial 16S ribosomal RNA". It matches the Rfam family "Bacterial small subunit ribosomal RNA", at positions 333 to 583 of the family's 1533-position model. The record is from RNAcentral.